AGCGAACGCUGGCGGCAGGCUUAACACAUGCAAGUCGAGCGGGCAUAGCAAUAUGUCAGCGGCAGACGGGUGAGUAACGCGUGGGAACGUACCUUUUGGUUCGGAACAACACAGGGAAACUUGUGCUAAUACCGGAUAAGCCCUUACGGGGAAAGAUUUAUCGCCGAAAGAUCGGCCCGCGUCUGAUUAGCUAGUUGGUGAGGUAAUGGCUCACCAAGGCGACGAUCAGUAGCUGGUCUGAGAGGAUGAUCAGCCACAUUGGGACUGAGACACGGCCCAAACUCCUACGGGAGGCAGCAGUGGGGAAUAUUGGACAAUGGGCGCAAGCCUGAUCCAGCCAUGCCGCGUGAGUGAUGAAGGCCCUAGGGUUGUAAAGCUCUUUUGUGCGGGAAGAUAAUGACGGUACCGCAAGAAUAAGCCCCGGCUAACUUCGUGCCAGCAGCCGCGGUAAUACGAAGGGGGCUAGCGUUGCUCGGAAUCACUGGGCGUAAAGGGUGCGUAGGCGGGUCUUUAAGUCAGGGGUGAAAUCCUGGAGCUCAACUCCAGAACUGCCUUUGAUACUGAAGAUCUUGAGUUCGGGAGAGGUGAGUGGAACUGCGAGUGUAGAGGUGAAAUUCCUAGAUACUCGCAAGAACACCAGUGGCGAAGGCGGCUCACUGGCCCGAUACUGACGCUGAGGCACGAAAGCGUGGGGAGCAAACAGG
This 704-nucleotide ribosomal RNA is filed under the name uncultured Bradyrhizobiaceae bacterium. Its description in RNAcentral is "bacterial SSU rRNA". It matches the Rfam family "Bacterial small subunit ribosomal RNA", at positions 28 to 776 of the family's 1533-position model. Lineage: Bacteria; Pseudomonadati; Pseudomonadota; Alphaproteobacteria; Hyphomicrobiales; Nitrobacteraceae. The record is from RNAcentral.